UACCUACGGGACGCAGCAGUGGGGAAUUUUGGACAAUGGGCGCAAGCCUGAUCCAGCUAUUCCGCGUGUGGGAUGACGGCCCUCGGGUUGUAAACCACUUUAGUAGAGAACGAAAAGGAGCUAUCGAAUAAAUAGCUCUGCUGACGGUACUCUAAGAAUAAGCACCGGCUAACUCCGUGCCAGCAGCCGCGGUAAUACGGAGGAUGCGAGCGUUAUCCGGAUUUAUUGGGUUUAAAGGGUGCGUAGGCGGACUGUCAAGUCAGCGGUAAAAUACGGGGGCUCAACCUCCGCCCGCCGUUGAAACU
This 305-nucleotide ribosomal RNA is filed under the name uncultured bacterium. Its description in RNAcentral is "bacterial SSU rRNA". It matches the Rfam family "Bacterial small subunit ribosomal RNA", at positions 335 to 634 of the family's 1533-position model. The record is from RNAcentral.